Molecule: ribosomal RNA, 1372 nt
Filed under: uncultured marine bacterium
Lineage: Bacteria
Description: bacterial SSU rRNA
Rfam family: Bacterial small subunit ribosomal RNA
Source: RNAcentral
UUGAACGCUGGCGGUAUGCUUAACACAUGCAAGUCGAACGGAAACGAUACUAGCUUGCUAGUAGGCGUCGAGUGGCGGACGGGUGAGUAACGCGUAGGAAUCUACCUGAUAGUGGGGGAUAGCCCGAAGAAAUUCGGAUUAAUACCGCAUAAUCUAUUCGUAGUAAAGUGGGGGACUUUCGAGCCUCACGCUAUCAGAUGAGCCUGCGUAAGAUUAGCUAGUUGGUAGGGUAAAAGCCUACCAAGGCGACGAUCUUUAGCUGGUCUGAGAGGAUGAUCAGCCACAUCGGGACUGAGACACGGCCCGAACUCCUACGGGAGGCAGCAGUGGGGAAUAUUGGACAAUGGGGGCAACCCUGAUCCAGCAAUACCGCGUGUGUGAAGAAGGCCUGAGGGUUGUAAAGCACUUUCAAUUGUGAAGAAAAGCUAGUGGUUAAUAGCCAUUAGCCUUGACGUUAACUUUAGAAGAAGCACCGGCUAACUCCGUGCCAGCAGCCGCGGUAAUACGGAGGGUGCAAGCGUUAAUCGGAAUUACUGGGCGUAAAGCGUGCGUAGGCGGUUUAUUAAGUCAGAUGUGAAAGCCCCGGGCUUAACCUGGGAACUGCAUUUGAAACUGGUCAACUAGAGUAUGGUAGAGGAAAGUGGAAUUUCUGGUGUAGCGGUGAAAUGCGUAGAUAUCAGAAAGGAACAUCAAUGGCGAAGGCAACUUUCUGGACCAAUACUGACGCUGAGGUACGAAAGCGUGGGUAGCAAACAGGAUUAGAUACCCUGGUAGUCCACGCCGUAAACGAUGAUAACUAGCCGUUGGGGGGAUUUACCCCUUAGUGGCGAAGCUAACGCGUUAAGUUAUCCGCCUGGGGAGUACGGCCGCAAGGUUAAAACUCAAAGGAAUUGACGGGGACCCGCACAAGCGGUGGAGCAUGUGGUUUAAUUCGAUGCAACGCGAAGAACCUUACCUGGUCUUGACAUCCUGAGAACUUUCUAGAAAUAGAUUGGUGCCUUCGGGAACUCAGUGACAGGUGCUGCAUGGCUGUCGUCAGCUCGUGUCGUGAGAUGUUGGGUUAAGUCCCGUAACGAGCGCAACCCCUAUCCUUAUUUGCCAGCACAUCAUGGUGGGAACUAUAAGGAGACUGCCGGUGAUAAACCGGAGGAAGGCGGGGACGACGUCAAGUCAUCAUGGCCCUUACGACCAGGGCUACACACGUGCUACAAUGGGAAGGACAAAGAGCCGCGAAGCCGCGAGGUGUAGCUAAUCUCAGAAACCUUUUCGUAGUCCGGAUUGGAGUCUGCAACUCGACUCCAUGAAGUCGGAAUCGCUAGUAAUCGUAGAUCAGAAUGCUACGGUGAAUACGUUCCCGGGUCUUGUACACACC